Molecule: ribosomal RNA, 1573 nt
Filed under: human gut metagenome
Description: bacterial LSU rRNA
Rfam family: Bacterial large subunit ribosomal RNA
Source: RNAcentral
AGCCGAAGCGAAAGCGAGUCUUAAUAGGGCGGUAAGUUGAAUGCUGUAGACCCGAAACCCGGCGAGCUAGCCAUGAGCAGGUUGAAGUUUGAGUAAAAUCAAAUGGAGGACCGAACUAGGGCCUGUUGAAAAAGGCUUGGAUGACUUGUGGCUAGGGGUGAAAUUCCAAUCGAGCUGGGAUAUAGCUGGUUCUCCCCGAAAUAACUUUAGGGCUAGCGUUAAACAAGAGUUUUAUGAAGGUAGAGCACUGAAUAGUAGAUGGUCCCACCUCGGGAUACUGACAUUAAUCAAACUCCGAAUGUCAUAAAACGCGUUUAGCAGUCAGACUGCGAGUGAUAAGGUCCGUGGUCAAAAGGAAAAGAGUCCAGACCGCCAAAUAAGGUCCCAAAAUAUAUGCUAAGUGGAGAAGGAUGUAGAGAUGCCUAAACAACUAGGAUGUUGGCUUAGAAGCAGCCAUCAUUUAAAGAGUGCGUAAUAGCUCACUAGUCGAGUGACUCCGCGCCGAAAAUGUACCGGGGCUAAGCAUAUUACCGAAUUUGCGGAUUCGAUACGAAAGUAUUGAGUGGUAGGGGAGCGUUCCAUAUUGGGAAGAAGCAAGAUCGAGAGGACUUGUGGACUAUAUGGAAGUGAGAAUGCCGGUGUGAGUAACGAAAAGACAGGUGAGAAUCCUGUCCGUCAAAAACCCAAGGUUUCCAGGGGAAGGGUCGUCCGCCCUGGGUAAGUCUGGGCCUAAGGUGAGGCCGAGAGGCGUAGCUGAUGGAUAUCUGGUGUAUAUUCCAGAACUAGUAUAAUGACUGAUGGAGUGACGAAGAAGGCUAGGAUCCGAUUCUUAGUGGAUUGAAUACGAGAUAUCAAGAGGGGAUGUAGGCAAAUCCGCAUCUAGAAAUCAAGAUAUGACAGGUAAAGGAUAACGAAGUCAAGCUUCCAAGAAAAGCUUCUAGGGUUAAUCAUUAUACUACCAGUACCGUAAACCGACACAGGUGGGUAGGAAGAGAAUUCUAAGACGCGCGAGAAAACCCUUGUUAAGGAACUCUGCAAGUUGGCCCCGUAAGUUCGCAAUAAGGGGAGCUCAUGUAAAAGUGAGCCACAGAAAAGAAGCCCAAGCAACUGUUUAACAAAAACACAGGUUUAUGCAAAACCGUAAGGUGAAGUAUAUGAGCUGACACCUGCCCGGUGCUGGAAGGUUAAAAGGAGAGGUUAGAGCAAUCGAAGCCUUGAAUUGAAGCCCCAGUAAACGGCGGCCGUAACUAUAACGGUCCUAAGGUAGCGAAAUUCCUUGUCAGGUAAGUUCUGACCCGCACGAAAGGUGUAAUGUCUUUGGGCACUGUCUCAACAGGGGACUCGGUGAAAUCAAACUGCCGGUGAAAAUGCCGGCUACCCGCGAUUAGACGGAAAGACCCCAUGGAGCUUUACUGUAGGUUGAUAUUGAUAUUUGGUAUGUAAUGUACAGGAUAGGUGGGAGACUAUGAAGCUAGGACGUUAGUCUUGGUGGAGUCGACGUUGGGAUACCACCCUUUGCCUAUCGAGUAUCUAACUAGUGUAAGUGGAUUACAAAGGACAGUGUCAGUUGGGC